This 253-nucleotide ribosomal RNA is filed under the name uncultured bacterium. RNAcentral's name for it is "partial 16S ribosomal RNA". It matches the Rfam family "Bacterial small subunit ribosomal RNA", at positions 524 to 776 of the family's 1533-position model. The record is from RNAcentral.
GACAGAGGGUGCAAACGUUGUUCGGAAUUACUGGGCGUAAAGGGCGCGUAGGCGGCCUGCUAAGUCGAACGUGAAAUCCCCGAGCUCAACUCGGGAACUGCGUCCGAUACUGACAGGCUUGAAUCCGGGAGAGGUGAGUGGAAUUCCUGGUGUAGCGGUGAAAUGCGCAGAUAUCAGGAGGAACACCGAUGGCGAAGGCAGCUCGCUGGGACGGUACUGACGCUGAGGCGCGAAAGCGUGGGGAGCAAACAGG